CAAUUGCCCUUCCCUGCACUACCAAGGCACCAAGGAGGGAGGGUCCUCUAAAUGAGCCCUGGAUUUUCCGUAGGCCAGGCCAGGGACCAUAAGUGCCCCCUUCCCCCGUAGCUUCCUCUUUCUCCCGCCCUUCUUCUCAAAUUCAGAACCACUAACAGGAGUUUAAGCAGGAGCUGGGAAGUUUAUCCAAUUUUAAGGAAGGCCCUGGGAUGAGCCAGCCCUUCCCCUAGACUGACCUGAUUUAAGCUUUUCUUCUGCCAAGGUCACCAGCACCACUGGUGGGUGAGGGAUGUAGUCAUUUAUUUCAUGUCCCAGCCAGGGGCCCAUAAGGUAAGACAAAGAAGGAUUUUCCUCAGGUGCACUAAGAAGUGGUCCGUUCCCUGCCCGCCAUCCUCCUCUCCAACCUGGGACAGACUAGUCUUGCCCUUGGGUUCUUGUCCUUGAGCUUAGCUAGGACCGCUCUCUCUCUUCUUUCUUUUUAAAGAAUUUAGUCCCCGAUCCCCUCAACGGCUGUCUCUUUCCAUUUAACAACAAACCUUUACUUAGCACCAGCUGUGUGCCCAGCACUGUGCUCAUUCCUGGAGAUUCUGUGGCAGAUGAAAAGGUCCCUGUCCUUGGGCCGCUCCUAGCCUACCACGGGGCAGACUCUGAACACAUGCGGGAGAGUGGCUGCUGCCAGUCAGCCUGUGCAGCCAUGGCUUCCUGCUUCCUCUUGCCCAGAACUACUCCUUUGAACAGCAUGGCUUGAUAAGCAGUGCCAUGUCUGCACCAGGGAUUCGAACCGGGGACACCGGGCCACCAAAGCAGAAUGUGCGAACUUAACCACUGUGCCACCAGGCCAGCCCGUGCCUCUUUUAAAAUAUUUUAAAAAGUAACACAUGUGCACAGUUUAAAAGAAAAACAGUUUUAAUGUAUCUUUACAGAGAUAUUUUGGGCAUAUGUAAACAAUGUGUGCGUAUGUGUGGUUUUGUGUGUGUUUGACACAAAUGAUAGCUCCACGCUGUUUGGCUCCUUGCUAUUUUCCCUCAGUAACACAUCUGCCUCUACAAAGCCUACAUAGUCUUCCAUCAUAUGGGUGCAUCUCAA
This 1086-nucleotide long non-coding RNA is filed under the name Equus asinus (donkey). RNAcentral describes it as "lncRNA (ENSEASG00005027306.1)". The record is from RNAcentral. Lineage: Eukaryota; Metazoa; Chordata; Mammalia; Perissodactyla; Equidae.